RNAcentral lists this ribosomal RNA (1563 nucleotides) under Triticum aestivum (bread wheat). RNAcentral's name for it is "partial small subunit ribosomal RNA". The record is from RNAcentral. Lineage: Eukaryota; Viridiplantae; Streptophyta; Magnoliopsida; Poales; Poaceae.
AUGGAGGACGUCGUGUACCUCGUCCUGGCCCUCGCGUCGCUGCUCGUCGUGCUGCUCGCCAGGCGGUGGAGGCACAGCUCGCCGGAGGGCGAGGACAAGCUGCGGCUGCCGCCAGGGCCGUGGACGCUGCCGGUGAUCGGCAGCAUCCACCACAUCGCCGGGGCGCUCCCGCACCAGGCCAUGCGCGACCUGGCGCGGCGGCACGGGUGGCCCGUCAUGCUGCUCCGGCUCGGCGAGGUGCCCACGCUGGUGGUGUCGUCCCGGGAGGGCGCGCGCGAGGUGAUGAAGACCCACGAUGCCGCCUUCGCCACGCGCCCGCUGAGCUCCACCGUGCGCGUGCUCACCAACGGCGGCCGGGACAUCAUCUUCGCGCCCUACGGGGAGCACUGGCGCCAGAUGCGCAAGAUCGCCGUCACGGAGCUCCUCACGGCGCGGCGAGUGCUCUCCUUCCGUGCCAUCCGGGAGGAGGAGGUCGGCGCCAUGCUCCGGGCCGUCGCGUCCGCCGCCGGGGACGGGGACGCGAUCGACAUGCGCGCGCGGCUGUCGGUGCUCGUGGCAGACACCACGGUGCGCGCCGUCAUGGGCGACCGGUGCAAGGACCGCGACGUGUUCGUCCGGGAGCUCGACCGCUCCAUCGGCCUGGCCGGCGGGUUUAACCCGGCCGACUUGUGGCCGUCGUCGCGGCUCGCCGUCUGGGCCAGCGGCGCCGUCCGCCGCGCCGAGGAGUGCCGCGACAUCGUGUUCGGGAUCCUGGACGGCAUCAUCGCUGAGCACCAGCAGAGGAUGGGCACCGUCGACGGCGACGACGAGGACCUCAUCGACGUGCUCCUGAGGGUGCAGAACGACGGCAGCCUCCAGCUCCCUCUCGACAUGGACUCCAUCAAAGCCGUCAUCUUCGACAUCUUCGGCGCCGGUAGCGAGACAUCGGCGACGACGCUGGAGUGGAUAAUGGCGGAGCUCGUGAAGAACCCGAAGGUGAUGAAGCGGGCGACGACGGAGGUGCGGCGAGCCUUUGAGGCCGGCGGCAAGGUGGUGGAACAAAAACUUGGGGAGCUGGUGCCGUACCUGCACCUCGUGAUCCGGGAGACGUUCCGACUGCACGCGCCAGUGCCGCUGCUGCUCCCGCGGGAGUGCCGGGAGGAGCCGGCGUGCCGGGUGCUGGGCUACGACGUGCCGCGGGGCACCCAGGUGCUGGUGAACGUCUGGGCGCUGGGCCGCGACGAGCGGUACUGGCCGGAUGCGCCCGAGGAGUUCCGGCCAGAGCGGUUCGAGGUUGAGGGCGGCGGGUCGGCGGCGGGGGUGGACUUCAGGGGCGCGGACUUUGAGCUCCUGCCUUUCGGUGCCGGGAGGAGGAUGUGCCCCGGGAUGGCGUUCGGGCUGGCCAACGUGGAGCUGGCGCUGGCCAGCCUACUGCUGCACUUCGACUGGGAGGCGCCCGGCGUGGCUAACCCUGCCGAGUUCGACAUGACCGAGGCGUUCGGCAUCACCAACAGGCGGAAGGCCGGACUCCUGCUCCGCCCCAUCCUGCGUGUGCCCGUCCCCGUUCCCGUACCCGGUGUCUAG